GUUGUGGGUUAAGAAACAGAUAACGCCCCCAGCCAUUCGUUUGCUUGUGUUUUAUAAGCGCUUUUGCUCUCCCCCGUUUUCCCCUUUCCGCUGCGGAGUUCCGGCGCUCUUCGCUCCCGCUUCUUUCCGGAGCUCCGUCGAGCAGCUACCACCAAUCCCAAAGCGGCGGACGCAGGAGCUGGGUGACUGCUUCGCUGGGCCGCCGUUCUCCGAGGAAGCAGGGGGAUCCGCCGUCCCUCCGAGGGCGAUAGAGACACCGCCGAGGCCUUCCGCUGCCUCCCUUGACGCCGCGCUACCCCCUCGUCGCCCUCCGAAGCCGAAGCCGCCGCCGCCAUCGCGUGUCGUCGUUGUACGUCGCACACUUUCACAUGGCAAACUCCCUACCUCCGUUUACCCUACUAGUCCCCUGUCCCGUGCAACGACAACUGAUGUAGCUCCCAAGUUUUCUUGGACCAAACUGACAAAACCUACUUCUUCUGUUGCUUUGUGACGAACAGGUGUUAUAAUGUAGACUUCUAUAGAUGUCUUUCGUUCUUCUUUGUUAGUAGAGUACCUCCCUAGGUCUUCGUCGUUGUCUUAAUCGUAACUCGAAAGUCCUCCGACGUCCCACGAGGAUGUAUACCCUGUUGUAGACACUAUAAGUCUCUUUGGAAGUCAAAUCAUUGGAACCGCCAGAACUUCAACCAGGAGCAGGUCGAAGCCUUGUAGAUCUUCGGAGAUCUCAUAACGUAAGUGUGCUACUCAGGAAAGCGAGACAAUUGCCACUUGACUCCCUUGAAGGUGGACAACUAAACAGGUUAGAAGGAAACUAAAACUUCUGAUAUAACCUCCCACCGUAAUGUCUAGUUUACGCACACCGGCUCAACUAUUGUGUUCUAGCACUAAAAAAGGGGUUCGACGACCUAUAAAAAUCUUACACACUCCUAAAUCUCUUAAAUCUACUAGAGGUGUACUAUAAGUUUAACCAGUCCCCUUAGUAUAACGACUUGUCAGGUAGCUAGAAACUAUUCUAUAAGAGACUACUCAAAUAAGAACUGUAGUAUCCGCGGGAACUUAUACUAGGUCUCCAACGAUUUCACGUUUUCGUAGCGUAAAAAGACUUCCUAGUACAUCAAAAGUUUCUCCGGUAUGGAUAAUUUUUAUAAAGACACCAAAGUUCCUAUGUAGUUUGCAUGUCUUAUCCCAUAGAUUUCCUACAAUAUAAUGGGUCUUAUAAUCUACUACGGUGAGACCGAUCAGAAUUGUGCUAAUAUGUGUGCUUGUUACGACGACAAUAAAGGAAUGACUUCCUACUACGAACGAAAUAGGUUCUGAAUAAGAGAUCCUACUCUAGUGGUUUAUAAAGAUACCUUAGCUUUUCUCUUAACCAGGACAAGAACGUACUCAAGACGUGAGAAUCAUUCUCAAACGGCGAACAUGUUGUUGAUGCUGACAAAGCCCUAGAAAGUCCACUUCCACAUAAACUUUAACAUAGACUACACAACGUCUCAGUUCUGUCUUUUUAACAAAGCCGACCCUGCCUAUAGCAAUAAGAAAAAGAAUUAGUCCUGGGAUUGGAUAACUCCAGUAUAUAACAGGUCGUUCUUCCUUUAAGAGAAGAACCUGAAAACCAAUUUCCUUACCAUUGACUGAAACCACUCGUUUACGUGACAGUUAAAGACCUUUAGGAGGCAUAUAAUUACCUAAGAAAGUGAUACAGACCUCGUGUAUCUCUGCAUUAAUAACUCUAAAAGAUACUUUCCGUGGAACUGAUAAACCAACUACAUUAUCGUAGGAGAACAGGAAGCUCCUCACGAUGGGCUUGUAGUGGAUUGAGUCGACAGCAACCACCUUUGUGACUUCACGUAGCAUAGUUCGGUCUUUAAGACAAUUUACAGACGCUUGAUAAUACGAAAACACAUCAGGUAGUAGGGAUAUCUUAAUUCACGUUGAAGGAAUACUUGUUACGCUAUCUCUUUUAGGAAUGGUACUGAGCUGCUUCACUCUUCAAAAACCAACAACGUCGACAGUCCAAAUACGCGUGAUAAUAUAGGUCUUUACUACUUGUAGAAUAAGCGGUACAACAGUUCAAAUUGAACAACUUUGGUUAUUAACUGCGGAAACACCUUUUACCCCUAUCUAUAUUGUACGAUGUUAGACCUCAUGAGCUUGACAACCUUGUGUAUGCCUUCCUUUUAGAUUUUGGAGAACAAUAAAUACAAUGGCUCAGAAAGAGUCUAGUUGAAUACUUCAAACUUGUGAAGCCCUCGUAAGUCCGGAAGUUUGAGUUCAUAGUUGUCAUGAACCUCUCACGGCUAUACUUUAAUUCACGAUCACACGGACUGUACUCUUUCUUCCGUCUUCCUUCUCCAGAACUCUUCCUUCUCCUUCUAAUAAAGUUGCUCUCACUGCUCCUUCUAAAUCAUUCCGCCUGAUUUGUACGUGUGUCACUUGUAUUACUUCUUUCGUUCCUACUACAUCGGUUACCUUCGCUUUGACCACUGUAUAGGAGUUCCGGAUUUAGACCACCCGAACACCUGAUACGACUACUACUACUGCUCCUAAAGUUAGGCGGUGGGUUCCUCGGACUAUCCGGACACCUACUGCUACUCGAGAAUUGAUAUAGGUGUCACUUCGCCUUUAAUCAUUUGUGCCCCCUACCGUUUGUACGUCUACCCCUCCAAGCGUUCUCUGUUUUCUAACUUUGUUCCUAAUGAACACGGUUCUAAAGACGAAACUGAUUAGACCGAUCGUUUGUGUUCCUAAGUGAACGGAGUUCGAGCGGUUCAACGCUCCGGUUACCACAAAACCCUCUCGUACGAUGUGUAAGACUACUCGUAGUUGUAAGGGGUCUGUGACGUCUUUGGAGUGCCGUUCAACCGCCACUAACAUAGUUUCGUUACCCGUCAAACAGAUCACUCUUCCGACAUUUAUGGUGGUUUUGUUUGCUAAGUCUCGGGAUAAGUCACUCUACUGUUUAACUGUCGAGAAGAGGUGUGACCGAACGGGGUCCUAUGCUGGCUAGUUACGAACGGUUGUCCUUCCUUGUUGUACAAAAACCGAGACCUCUUCCGACUUAGAUAAUUAGAGUUUAGGUCUUCGUACUAAGCUCCACUACAUUUAGUGUGAAGAGACAUUUAGAACUUACUUUAACGUCGAUGGUAGUGUCGGACAUUUCAUUAAGAAGGUCUUCCUUUCUAUACUUUUACUCUUAACCGUACGGAAAGCCAAGUCGUAAUUAGCUCAGUGGAGAGAGAAAGAUAUAUAUAGAGAAAGAGAGAGAUAUAUCUCUCUCGUUACUUAUAUACUUUGACUCUUAACCGUACGUGAAAGAGGGCAUAACGAAAGAUCCUAGUAACCGCCUCUACAACUACAACAUUUUGUUCACCCGUUCUUAUCAAAGUCAACUCUCACUAUAAUAGGUAUAGAAUGUCAACAUUAAACAGCUAAUCAUCAAAACCGACCUAUAUGAAACUGAACCUACUCAUUAAUUAAAUAUACUAUCUUAUUAAAUAAGUUUUCCAACUUGUUCUCAUUAAAACUUACUUAUAUACCGGUACAGAAAGUCAGACCCUAAACAU
This 3560-nucleotide ribosomal RNA is filed under the name Triticum aestivum (bread wheat). RNAcentral's name for it is "partial small subunit ribosomal RNA". The record is from RNAcentral. Lineage: Eukaryota; Viridiplantae; Streptophyta; Magnoliopsida; Poales; Poaceae.